RNAcentral lists this unclassified non-coding RNA (192 nucleotides) under uncultured fungus. RNAcentral's name for it is "sequence contains ITS1, 5.8S rRNA gene". The record is from RNAcentral. Lineage: Eukaryota; Fungi.
UUAACUAUUAUAUAGUACUCAGACAGUAUAGACAAACAGAGUUUAGGUCCUCUGGCAAGCGCUCGCCGGCCGGAGCCAGCAGCCCGAGGGCAGGCCUGCCAAAGCAACAAAGUGUAAUAAACAAAGGGUGGGAGAUCUACCCGUAAGGGCAUGAACUCGGUAAUGAUCCCUCCGCAGGUUCACCUACGGAGA